UUUUCAGUGGUGUUGGCUGGCUGGGGGAAAGAUGGAGAGGGGAGGGGUGAAUAGAAAGUAGGCAGGCUUCUGGGUGGAUGGGGCCCAGCACCCACAGCCUAGGCUGGCUGCCUGAGAGUAGCGAGUGACAGGUAAGGGCUCUGAACCUUCCUGCGUGCUACCCAAGGAGUGCCUAGGGCUACCAGGAGGCCCAGGGAGGAACCUUGAGACCUGAGAAAGGCUUUUCUUCCCCGAGAGGACCACUGCUCAGGCUCAGAGGCCAUGGGGUGAAGUGCACAAAAAAGUGGGCGUCCAGCCAUGCUCUAAGUCCCCCGAAGAUGAAGACCAGGGAGCAGCUUCCUCCAAUGAAGCAGCAGCAAUCAGAGGACCAGGAGGCUGAAGCCCUGAGCCCAGCCAGAGGCAGGAUCAGCCAAGUCUGGGACAGGCUUCAAUUAUUUUAGGAUGGAGUCUUGCUCUGUUGUCCAGGCUGGAGUGCAAUGGCGCGAUCUCACCUCACUGCAACCUCCACCUCCCCGGUUCAAGCGAUUCUCCUGCCUCAGCCUCCUGAGUAGCUGGGAUUACAGUCGUGUGCCACCAUGCCCAGCUAAAUUUUGUAUCUUUAGUAGAGAUGGGGUUUCACCAUGUUGGUCAGGCUGGUCUUGAACUCCUAACCUAGUGAUCCGCCCGCCUCGGCCUCCCAAAGUGCCAACACUCAUCACCACUCUUGCAUCUCAGAAAAAGUACAAGAAAAUAUGAAUGAAUAUUUGUUAGCUCUUUGGCGGAGUAAACACAUUAUAUGCUUUGAAGCAACAGAAGAAAUCACAGAGAACAAUUAACAGACUUAACUCUAUAAAAAACUUUACACUUCUGUACAAAAAUAAAAUAAGAAGACAUAGGGAAAUAUAUUUAUAGUAUGUGUGCACAUAUACACACACACCAACCAGAAAUAGAGUGAAUAUAUGUAAUUACAUAAUGGAUUCCCUCAGAGUGGAAAAAUAAUUUAUGUUAUAUUCAUACAGCGGAAUUUAUUUAGCCAUUGAAAUGAAUAAAAUGGAUCUUAAAAUCUGUCAAAAUGAGUUUUUAAAAAGCAAGUUGCAGGAUGCUAAGUUUAGCAUAUUAUCAGUCACAUAAAGUUUAAAAACUAAUGAAUGUGUGUGUAUGUUUAUGAGUGUGUGAGAAAAAGAGAGAGAGAAAUAUAGAGAGAGAUGACCAAGGACUAAAACUAUUAAAAUGUGGAAGGGAAAGAUGUAAAGCAACUGUAAGUGGUAAAUUACCUCUGGAGGAGAGGGUAGGAAAUGGUAACUGGGAAGGUUACAAAGGGAGCUUUAAAUAUAUCUGUUACUUUUCCAUAUGUCUGAAAUAUUCUGCAAUUAAAAAAACAGGACUUACAAGUUGCUAAGGAAGAACUCCUAAAAUUCCAAAAUAUGUAUGUAAAAACAACAUGACUAAACAAUUUAUAGGAAAGGAAAUAUAGAAAAAUGUAUAGCCUCCUUAGUAAUCAAAGAAGAUUAAAAUGAGACACAAAUCAUAUCUAUUAAAUUAGUUUUAAAAGUUUUUUACAAGAAAAAACAUUGUCUCAUGUACUCCAGAAAUUAGUAUGAUGUUUUAAAUGUAUAUACAAGAUAUAGAAUCUUAUAUUUUCAGAGUGGAAUAUAUGAC
This 1638-nucleotide long non-coding RNA is filed under the name Homo sapiens (human). RNAcentral's name for it is "HSALNT0327302". The record is from RNAcentral. Lineage: Eukaryota; Metazoa; Chordata; Mammalia; Primates; Hominidae.